AAAUCCUUGGUGGGUUCGCCCACCACUAGGACAAACAUAAACCUUUUGUAAUUGCAAUCAGCGUCAGUAAAAAUUAAUAAUUACAACUUUCAACAACGGAUCUCUUGGUUCUGGCAUCGAUGAAGAACGCAGCGAAAUGCGAUAAGUAGUGUGAAUUGCAGCGCUUCAGUGAAUCAUCGAAUCUUUGAACGCACAUUGCGCCCUUUGGUAUCCAAAGGGCAUGCCUGUUCGAGCGUCAUUUGUACCCUCAAGCUUUGCUUGGUGUUGGGCGUCUUGUCUCUAGCUUUGCUGGAGACUCGCCUUAAAGUAAUUGGCAGCCGGCCUACUGGUUUCGGAGCGCAGCACAAGUCGCACUCUCUAUCAGCAAAGGUCUAGCAUCCAUUAAGCCUUUUUUCAACUUUUGACCUCGGAUCAGGUAGGGAUACCCGCUGAGGG
RNAcentral lists this ribosomal RNA (435 nucleotides) under Alternaria alternata. Its description in RNAcentral is "eukaryotic LSU rRNA". The stretch from base 85 to 238 matches the Rfam family "5.8S ribosomal RNA". The record is from RNAcentral. Lineage: Eukaryota; Fungi; Ascomycota; Dothideomycetes; Pleosporales; Pleosporaceae.